Molecule: ribosomal RNA, 1068 nt
Filed under: Pseudomonas fluorescens
Lineage: Bacteria; Pseudomonadati; Pseudomonadota; Gammaproteobacteria; Pseudomonadales; Pseudomonadaceae
Description: bacterial SSU rRNA
Rfam family: Bacterial small subunit ribosomal RNA
Source: RNAcentral
ACCCUUUCUCCCCUCCUAACCAUGCAGUCGAGCGGUAUAUACUUGCUUGCUCCUCUUGCCCCCGACCCCACGGGUGAGUAAUACCUAGUAAUCUGCCUGGUAGUGGGGGACAGGUUCGGAAACGGACGCUAAUACCGCAUACGUCCUACCGUAGAAAGCAGGAGACCUUCGGGCCUUGCGCUAUCAGAUGAGCCUAUGUCGGAGUAGCUAGUUGGUGAGGUAAUGGCUCACCUAGGCUACAAUCCGUAACUGGUCUGAGAGGAUGAUCACUCACCCUGGAACUGAGACACGGUCCACACCCCCACCCGAGGCAUCAGUGGGGAAUAUUGUACAAUGGGCGAAAGCCUGAUCCAUCCAUGCCGCGUGUGUGAAGAAAGUCUUCUGAUUGUAUAGCACUUUUUGUUGGGAGGAAGGGCAUUAACCUAAUACGUUAGUGCUUUGACGUUACCGACAGAAUAACCACCCGCUAACUCUGUGCCAGCAGCCGCGGUAAUACAGAGGGUGCAAGCGUUAAUCGCAAUUACUGGGCGUAAAGCGCGCGUAUGUGGUUUGUUAAGUUGAAUGUGAAAUCCCCGGGCUCAUUCUGGGAACUGCAUCCAAAACUGUGAGCUAGACUAUGGUAGAGGGUGGUGGAAUUUCCUGUGUAGCAGAGAAAUGCGUAGAUCUAUGAAGGAACACCCGUGGCGAAGGCGACUACCUGUACUGAUACUGACACUGCGGUGCUCAAGCGUGGAGAGGAAACAGGAUUACAUACCCUGGUAGUCCACACCGUAAUAGAUGUCCACUAUUCGCCGGGAGUCUGAAUUCUUAGUGGCGCCCCUAACGCAUUAUCUUGAUCGCCUGGGGAGUAAUGCCCGCAAGGAUAUACUCGAAUGAAUUGACGGCGGGCCGCAACACCGGUGGAGCUUGUGGUUUUAUUCAAUAGAACGUGAGAACCUUACCACGCCUGACCUCCACCGAAAUUUCUACAUAAAUAUUGGUGGCCUUUCUGAACAUGAAUACAGGGGUGGCUGGCUGUCGUCAACUCUGUCGGUGGAAUGUGGGGUUUAGUCACUCCAACAGAGCAAU